Molecule: ribosomal RNA, 121 nt
Filed under: Streptomyces lanatus
Lineage: Bacteria; Bacillati; Actinomycetota; Actinomycetes; Kitasatosporales; Streptomycetaceae
Description: partial 16S rRNA
Rfam family: Bacterial small subunit ribosomal RNA
Source: RNAcentral
UCUAAUACCGGAUACGACCAUCAGGGGCAUCCCUUGGUGGUGGAAAGCUCCGGCGGUGAAGGAUGAGCCCGCGGCCUAUCAGCUUGUUGGUGAGGUAAUGGCUCACCAAGGCGACGACGGG